This 253-nucleotide ribosomal RNA is filed under the name uncultured bacterium. Its description in RNAcentral is "partial 16S ribosomal RNA". It matches the Rfam family "Bacterial small subunit ribosomal RNA", at positions 524 to 776 of the family's 1533-position model. The record is from RNAcentral.
UACGGAGGGUGCAAGCGUUAUCCGGAUUCACUGGGUUUAAAGGGUGCGUAGGUGGGUCUGUAAGUCAGUGGUGAAAUCUCCGGGCUUAACCCGGAAACUGCCAUUGAUACUAUAGGUCUUGAACUUUCUGGAGGUGAGCGGAAUAUGUCAUGUAGCGGUGAAAUGCUUAGAUAUGACAUAGAACACCAAUUGCGAAGGCAGCUCGCUACAGGAAUAUUGACACUGAGGCACGAAAGCGUGGGGAUCAAACAGG